UUAUUCCAGAUUGUUGGGAGCCGCCCC
This 27-nucleotide unclassified non-coding RNA is filed under the name Mus musculus (house mouse). Its description in RNAcentral is "piRNA piR-mmu-68351058". Lineage: Eukaryota; Metazoa; Chordata; Mammalia; Rodentia; Muridae. The record is from RNAcentral.